Molecule: ribosomal RNA, 201 nt
Filed under: Salinicola sp. MH3R3-1
Lineage: Bacteria; Pseudomonadati; Pseudomonadota; Gammaproteobacteria; Oceanospirillales; Halomonadaceae
Description: partial 16S ribosomal RNA
Rfam family: Bacterial small subunit ribosomal RNA
Source: RNAcentral
GAAAUACAGCCGCUCAACGGUUGAGGUGCCAUUGAUACUGUAGAGCUUGAAACAAGUGGAGGCUGCCGGAAUGGAUGGUGUAGCGGUGAAAUGCAUAGAUAUCAUCCAGAACACCGAUUGCGAAGGCAGGUGGCUACGUUUGAUUUGACACUGAGGCACGAAAGCAUGGGGAGCAAACAGGAUUAGAAACCCCUGUAGUCC